Molecule: ribosomal RNA, 301 nt
Filed under: uncultured bacterium
Lineage: Bacteria
Description: partial 16S ribosomal RNA
Rfam family: Bacterial small subunit ribosomal RNA
Source: RNAcentral
CAGCAGCCGCGGGAAUACGGAGGGUGCAAGCGUUAAUCGGAAUUACUGGGCGUAAAGCGCACGCAGGCGGUCUGACAAGUCAGAUGUGAAAUCCCCGGGCUUAACCUGGGAACUGCAUUUGAAACUGUCAGGCUGGAGUCUUGUAGAGGGGGGUAGAAUUCCAGGUGUAGCGGUGAAAUGCGUAGAGAUCUGGAGGAAUACCGGUGGCGAAGGCGGCCCCCUGGACAAAGACUAACGCUCAGGUGCGAAAGCGUGGGGACCAAACAGGAUUAGAUACCCCUGUAGUCCCUGUCUCUUAUAC